RNAcentral lists this ribosomal RNA (301 nucleotides) under uncultured bacterium. RNAcentral's name for it is "partial 16S ribosomal RNA". It matches the Rfam family "Bacterial small subunit ribosomal RNA", at positions 509 to 807 of the family's 1533-position model. The record is from RNAcentral.
CAGCCGCCGCGGUAAUACGUAGGUGGCAAGCGUUGUCCGGAAUUAUUGGGCGUAAAGGGCUCGCAGGCGGUUUCUUAAGUCUGAUGUGAAAGCCCCCGGCUCAACCGGGGAGGGUCAUUGGAAACUGGGAAACUUGAGUGCAGAAGAGGAGAGUGGAAUUCCACGUGUAGCGGUGAAAUGUGUAGAGAUGUGGAGGAACACCAGUGGCGAAGGCGACUCUCUGGCCUGUAACUGACGCUGAGGAGCGAAAGCGUGGGGAGCGAACAGGAUUAGAGACCCCUGUAGUCCCUGUCUCUUAUAC